AAACUUUGCAGCGCACUGGCCCUCCAGGGCAAGAUUUGAGGAACCCUGUCAUAGGCCUACCCACUCAUUAAACUAUGACAGCUGGGAAAAUACAUUCAUUUGACUAGAAACACCAGAGACCGGAAAUGUAAAGCAUCGUACCAGUAUGAGUCGGGCGAGACUUCCACGUUCAGGAAAAAGUUUACAGGCUCAUUCCUGGACACUGCCAAAACAUCAUGAUCCCAGCUGCUCUGCCACUUCAUACAGAGAUUCAAAAGAUUCUGAAAAAACAACAUCACGAUCUUCAGUAAAGAAAAAAAAAGUUCAGGCUGUGUGUGAGUUUCAUCUUUGCACUGGUAUGUUUGGAUUUCUCUAAAGGUGAAGAUACACAGGGCAAUGUUGCUUGGGCAAUUUCUCAUUGAGAAUGGUCUAGAUCGGUCGUAGGCCCUCUGUCUCACCUGUUUGCCUGUUAACGGCAAAAUUGCCCAGCAAUAAUGCUCAAAAAGUUGCCCCAUUUAUCAUCACCUUUAUUAGUCUUUUCUCGGUUGCUGGCAGACCGGAAAUUACAGCA
Sinocyclocheilus grahami is the source of this 550-nucleotide long non-coding RNA. RefSeq lists it as uncharacterized. The record is from RefSeq and is a predicted model, not a curated record. Lineage: Eukaryota; Metazoa; Chordata; Actinopteri; Cypriniformes; Cyprinidae. The transcript has 3 exons.